This 468-nucleotide ribosomal RNA is filed under the name uncultured bacterium. RNAcentral describes it as "partial 16S ribosomal RNA". It matches the Rfam family "Bacterial small subunit ribosomal RNA", at positions 28 to 507 of the family's 1533-position model. The record is from RNAcentral.
GACGAACGCUGGCGGCGUGCUUAACACAUGCAAGUCGAACGGAAAGGCCCUGCUUUUGUGGGGUGCUCGAGUGGCGAACGGGUGAGUAACACGUGAGUAACCUGCCCUUGACUUUGGGAUGACUUCAGGAAACUGGGGCUAAUACCGGAUAGGAGCUCCUGCUGCAUGGUGGGGGUUGGAAAGUUUCGGCGGUUGGGGAUGGACUCGCGGCUUAUCAGCUUGUUGGUGGGGUAGUGGCUUACCAAGGCUUUGACGGGUAGCCGGCCUGAGAGGGUGACCGGCCACAUUGGGACUGAGAUACGGCCCAGACUCCUACGGGAGGCAGCAGUGGGGAAUAUUGCACAAUGGGCGGAAGCCUGAUGCAGCAACGCCGCGUGCGGGAUGACGGCCUUCGGGUUGUAAACCGCUUUCGCCUGUGACGAAGCGUGAGUGACAGUAAUGGGUAAAGAAGCACCGGCUAACUACGUG